Ribosomal RNA from Sinocyclocheilus anshuiensis, 115 nucleotides. The record is from Ensembl. Lineage: Eukaryota; Metazoa; Chordata; Actinopteri; Cypriniformes; Cyprinidae.
AAACACAGCCAUAUCACUCUGCAGCCCAAGACUGGUUGCCCACUGAAGCUAAGCAGGGUUGAGCCUGGUGAAUACCUGGAUGGGAGACCUUCUGGGAAAACUAGGUUGGUGUUGU